This 446-nucleotide ribosomal RNA is filed under the name uncultured bacterium. RNAcentral describes it as "bacterial SSU rRNA". It matches the Rfam family "Bacterial small subunit ribosomal RNA", at positions 34 to 507 of the family's 1533-position model. The record is from RNAcentral.
CGCUGGCGGCGUGCUUUAGACAUGCAAGUCGAACGAGAUCUUCGGAUCUAGUGGCGAACGGCGGAGUAAUACAUAAACAACGUGCCCUGAAGACUGGGAUAUACGGUCGAAAGGCCGAGCAAUACCGGAUGUGGCCGAGACUAGGCAUCUAGACUCGAUUAAAUGGUUUUUCGCUUCAGGAGCGGUUUAUGACUCAUCAGCUAGUUGGUAGGGUAAUGGCCUACCAAGGCUACGACGGGUAGGGGGUCUGAGAGGAUGAUCCCCCCGAGUGGGACCGAGACACGGCCCACACACCUACGGGUGGCAGCAGUUUGGAAUCUUGCCCAAUGGGGGAAACCCUGAGGCAGCGACGCCGCGUGGAGGAUGAAGGAUUUAGGUCUGUAAACUCCUUUUGCCAGGAAAGACUUAGGACGGUACCUGGCGAAUAAGCUCCGGCUAACUACGUG